CUGCGGGGCGGGGAGCCGGGAUCUCCUCUGUGGAGCCGGAAUUUCCCCUCAUGAGCCGGGGAGCCGGGAUUCCUCCUGAGGAGCAGGGAUCUCCUCCGGGGAGCCGGGCUCCUCCUGUGAAGCCGGAAUCUCCUCCGAGGAGCCGGGAUCUCUCCUGAGGAGCCGGAAUCACUUCUAAGGAGCUGGGAUCUCCCCUCUGAGGAGCCGGGAUCUCUCCUGAGGAGCCGGAAUCACUUCUAAGGAGCUGGGAUCUCCCCUCUGAGGAGCCGGGGUCUCUCCUGAGGAGCCGGAAUCACUUCUAAGGAGCUGGGAUCUCCCCUCUGAGGAGCCGGGAUCUCUCCUGAGGAGCCGGAAUCACUUCUAAGGAGCUGGGAUCUCCCCUCUGAGGAGCCGGGAUAUCUCCUGAGGAGCCGGAAUCACUUCUAAGGAGCUGGGAUCUCCCCUCUGAGGAGCCGGGAUCUCUCCUGAGGAGCCGGAAUCACUUCUAAGGAGCUGGGAUCUCCCCUCUGAGGAGCCGGGAUAUCUCCUGAGGAGCCAGGCUCCCCCUGUGGAGCCGAGAUCUCCCCUCCGGAGCCGGGCUCUCCCUGAAAAGCCGGCAUCUCCUCUCUGGAGCCGGCAUCUUCCCUGAAGAGCGGCGCUGAGGGGAUGAUAGCGGGCCAGCUGCCAUAUAAUACAGUUUAUAUGUCGGUGAGCUGGCGUCUCCGAUAUCUCAGCUUUCAUCCAAAAACUGAUUCCCGAUUUUGGUUGCAGCUCUAUGUUUGUACAGCCCUGGAGGAAAUACGGCGUCUGUGUAAUCUGCAGUCUGUUUAGGAAUACAAUUAGUAGACGUGGCUGCCAUUCCCUAAUACCGCAGCAGAACUAUCCUGUCCCGCAGCUCAGGCACCCUCAAUGUACUGAGGUGUCGCAGGUGGCACUAAACCCUUCCCACUGCUCAUGGCACAGAGGAGGGAGAAUAACCCAAUUCUGAGCAAUACUCAACACUGAGCCCCAGAUAGGUUCAGACCUAAAGAAAACAUUUGUCUUUUUUCUAAAAUAUUCUCUGAUGCAUCAUUAUUAAAUACAAGCAGGUUUGACUUCCAUACCAGGUGAAAGGACUUUAGAAACCCUUAUGCACACUGGGGACAGGAGGGGAAGACGGGACAAGAGAGCAAGGACUUGUGCCAUAUUCAAAUACCCCAUAAAGGAUGGCAGAUUUGCUACAACAGACAGCAAACCAUGAAUUUGUUAAAAGAAUUCUCUUUUUUAUCCUUUAACAAUGGCCAGAGAGACAAACCACCCAGUUCUAGAAAGCCAGCAGCAGAACAAUGAGGGGCAAGCAGCUGGCACAAAAGCUGUCAGAAUGUGCAAACAAGGCCAGGAGUCAGAUGCCACACGCCCAGUGGUGAGCUGCUGUGCCACUGACGUUGAUUUGUGCCACUGGAUGUAAUCAGACUCCAGGGCUGAAAACAAGGGGAAAGCAAUGAGACAGAUUUUACAGCCAGCCACUGCAGAUGAGCAGAUAGCACCCAAGCAAGCAGUCUGGAGCCUGAUGAAAUCUCAUGGGAAUGACGAGUGCAAUUCACAAAAGAAGGAUGACAUUUCAGACCCUUGAUGCAAUCCAGUGACUAUCCUGAAAAAAAUCUUAGUCCACAGGCUGCUGAAAAACUCAUAAACAUGCAGAACUGGCAUAAAUCAUUAUCUGGGUUUUGAAAGAAAAUACUGUGCUAUCCAGGAGAUGCAAAGAGAUGCAGACCCUCUAAUAAUGGUGAUACUAAGAAUGAAAAAUAUGUUGUAUUUAAUGCAAAGCUUUUCAUUAUUUGAGCAAUAAAUUGCAGCAAAUAAAAUGCUUUAUGUUAUAUAUUAAGGACCUUGUCCCAGAAAUAAACCCCUUUAAAUGAAAACUUCUAGGUGAAUACUUAUCAAAAAUUACCUCUAUAUAUAUAUAUGUUGCCCUGAAGUUUCUUCAUGAUAAUCUCUUAAUGUACUUUUACACAUAUUUAUAUGAUUUGCUAGAGGGAUAACACAUUUUCUGUAUUUUCCCUGCUUUGUUUAAUACAGCCUUUUCACUAAAUUAUU
Haemorhous mexicanus (house finch) is the source of this 2055-nucleotide long non-coding RNA. RefSeq lists it as uncharacterized. Lineage: Eukaryota; Metazoa; Chordata; Aves; Passeriformes; Fringillidae. The record is from RefSeq and is a predicted model, not a curated record. The transcript has 3 exons.